This is a non-coding RNA of Nothobranchius furzeri (turquoise killifish), 381 nucleotides long. NCBI's taxonomy places the organism in Eukaryota, Metazoa, Chordata, Actinopteri, Cyprinodontiformes, Nothobranchiidae. The record is from the annotation of a RefSeq genome assembly.
AUGAUGGACUGUAGAACAGGACUGCUGCUGCUGCUGGCUGCUGGAUCCUGUGUGAAGUGUGAACAGCUGACUCAGCCAGCCUCUGUGACUGUGCAGUCAGGUCAGCGUCUGACCAUCAGCUGUCAGGUCUUUUAUGAUUUCCGCAUAUAUAUAUAUGCAACAUUUUGGAUCAGACAGCCUGCAGGAAAAGGACUGGAAUGGAUCGGGUGGAAAUCUAUUAGAGACUCUCACUAUGAAGAGUCGCUGAAGAACAAGUUCAACAUUGAUUUAGACCCUUCCAGUAAAACAGUGACUCUGAUUGGACAGAACAUGCAGCCUGACGACUCUGCUGUGUAUUACUGUGCCAGAGAGCCACAGUGGCACAAACAUCAGAACAGCUGA